This is a long non-coding RNA of Formica exsecta, 2578 nucleotides long. RefSeq lists it as uncharacterized. The record is from RefSeq and is a predicted model, not a curated record. NCBI's taxonomy places the organism in Eukaryota, Metazoa, Arthropoda, Insecta, Hymenoptera, Formicidae. The transcript is spliced from 4 exons.
UCAAAGUCUAGAAGAGCAAUGUCUAAUUCGAAAUGGUCCUGACAUCAACAGUGAGACGAGUAGAAGCGAACGGGCGCUCCUACCUCGACCUGUACGGUGCACGGUCAGCGAUCGAAUGAGGGAGCGGGCCUUGUUGACAUUCGACAAGGCGUCGCGGUCGGUUCGGUCCGCGGCAACCGAGCGCGGCCGAUCGUGGCCGAGGAUUGCCGAGCGCGAGCGAAGCGCCACAGUGCGGCGGAGUCGUCCCGAAGAUACAUUCAGUCUAUUCUAAACCGGCGCGCGGGCUAUACGUUGACGCAUCCUGAACCUCGCGAGCGCGAUUCCAUCGCGCAUCGUCGCUUUCGCCGACGAUCUUCGUCGGCUCUCGCGAUAUAUCUUUGAACAGGAAACGUCGCGCGUUCGGACACACGUAAAACUUGUGCGAAAACCGUGUUUAAAGAGCGGAAGAGAGUGCGCUUCUUGUCUCUUCCUCUGUACCUUUUUCCCGCGACUUGCUCGUUUUUGAAAUCCGCGCGUGUUUGAAAGCCCGCGAGGAAGUUACAUCGUGACGGAGAAAAGUGAACGCUUCGAAACAAAUCGAGCUGGCCGUCUCGCUCGCUCGCUCGCGCUGCGUGUUUUCUCGCGAACGAGAAUACGAGAAAAAAAGCAGAAUCGACGCGCAAGUGAUACCGCCGCGCUAGAGAAAGACGCACGUCGCCUGUGAAAGAGCUCGAACUAGUCGCGAGUUUGUGUUUUUGUUUAUGCGGAACGGACUCUUGCAUCGGUAACUACGCACUGGACACUGCGCUGCGUUGCUACGCCGAAGGAAGUGCGAGUGGACGCGCCUCGGAAGGACGAUUCGUCGCUGAAGGCGUUCUCGAGAAAGAUCGUUAUAUCGUUCAAAAGUCAUGGUCUUCAUGAGCAAAGACACAUUUCGCAGUUUGAACUGAGUAUCGUGCUGCUUGGAUUUGCGCGAGGAUUACCGCGAUCUCGAAAAUUUCUUCGGGGAGAGGAGGAAAACGAAGUUUUCGAAGGAGUGGCACGUGAGAAACCGAAGAAAUAAAAGACGGAAAUAAACGUAAGAGUGUGAGAUGCUGCGUUAUCAGCGGCCGCUAGGCAGUACACGUCGAUGAUGGAACAAUCGACAGGCAAAAUCUCAUUAGAGGAUCGUGUCGCGCACGCUAAUUAAUUACGUCGCCAGCGCUGGUGGCCCUCCAAUCUCGUUUCUUGACAAUUCCGCUAAUUAAGUUCGUGCUCCACAUUUGGAAGUUGCCAUCCGGGGAACUUGAAUCCGUCGGCACUCCGGUGAGCUAAAUUAUAUGCACGUAUGCAUAGACUCCCGAAAUGGAAUAUGCGUGUGUAUGUGUUCAAAUAGAAAUAGAAUAUGGCAACCAAUUUUCGAAAUUAACUCUAACAAUACAAAAAAGCAGAAAGAAGCAUAUACUCUUGUAUUCUUUACAUGUCUAAUAUCAACCCUUUGCGGUUGUAAGCCGCGAUGAUAUAUAUCGAGAUAUUCAAAGGAUGUUACCGCAAAAGAGAGAGAAAGAUUAAUAUUUCAUUAAAAAUUAUGUUAAAAAUAAAAAUAUAAAAAAUAAAGUUUGACUUGUUAGUCAUGUAUUUAAAAUUUCAAAAAUACUAAGAUAUAUGAUCUUUGUGUAUGUGAACUUAUCUUCUUUUCAAUGAAGAGAAAUAUAUUUAAAAUGCAGAUUAUUGUGGAAAUAAUUAUUUAAAUAGUUUUAAGAGAAAGAAAGAAAUUCUAUUUACACAUAAUUACAAAUUAGUUUAAAAUUUAAAACUUUCGUGAAAAUAGUAGAUACAAAAAUAUAUCGAUCAUAUUUAUUUAAAACACUAUAAUUGACUAUGAUUAAUGAUUGAAUAUUAAUAAUUCAAAAACAAAUUAUUACAGAAAUUCUGAUUUAAAAUAAUAUCUAAAGUUUUCGAAAUUUUUGCAUUGACUAUUUUAAACAUGCUCUUUUUCUUGGAUUGUUGUUAAAAUAUUAUUUCACAUAUCAUGUAGUAGAAGGAAAGUAUUCAGAAAAAUACAAAACUAUUAUACGUAUCCAUUUUAAAAGCAACCAUUUAUUUUUACUGCUGAUUUACGAAAACAAACAUGAUUUAAUAAAGAUAUGAAGCAAAAUGAGUCGAAAGAGACGUAAAUAAGAGAGAAAUGGAUAUAAAUUCAUAAAAACAUGUAGCAUUACAAUAUUUUAAUAUUAUUUUGCGCGUAAUAAUAAAUGAAAAUAUAAUUUCAAUUUGAUUAUUUGAAAUCUUUAACGAGAGAUGCACAUGUUUGAGAUCUGUUGCGUAAAAUCAAUUGAAUAUUUCAAAAAGAGUUUCAAUAAAAAACAUACAUAAAUAAUUAUCUUACAAUCAUUUAUAUUUAAGAGGAGAAAUAAAACAUAUAUAAAAAUUCUUAUUUUUUAUUUCAAAUACAAAAACUACUUUACUUAUCUCUACUUUCGAUAUAUUGGCAGUUAUAGAAAAUAUCUUGUUAUUAUUAGAAUUAUUAUUUAUGUAUAAUGUUCAUGCAAUUUUAAAAAAAUCAUAAAUCUCUAACGAUAUCGCAUUCAACUUGUCAAUGAUAAAAAAAAAAAAAAAA